This 631-nucleotide ribosomal RNA is filed under the name Salmonella enterica subsp. enterica serovar Dublin. RNAcentral describes it as "partial 23S ribosomal RNA". It matches the Rfam family "Bacterial large subunit ribosomal RNA", at positions 910 to 1456 of the family's 2925-position model. Lineage: Bacteria; Pseudomonadati; Pseudomonadota; Gammaproteobacteria; Enterobacterales; Enterobacteriaceae. The record is from RNAcentral.
CUGUUUCGGCUAGGGGGCCAUCCCGGCUUACCAACCCGAUGCAAACUGCGAAUACCGGAGAAUGUUAUCACGGGAGACACACGGCGGGUGCUAACGUCCGUCGUGAAGAGGGAAACAACCCAGACCGCCAGCUAAGGUCCCAAAGUCAUGGUUAAGUGGGAAACGAUGUGGGAAGGCCCAGACAGCCAGGAUGUUGGCUUAGAAGCAGCCAUCAUUUAAAGAAAGCGUAAUAGCUCACUGGUCGAGUCGGCCUGCGCGGAAGAUGUAACGGGGCUAAACCAUGCACCGAAGCUGCGGCAGCGAACGUAUCACUUAAAGCGAUUCAGCGGGUUACGAUUGACGGAGCGAAGCGACGUCAAAGCGUAUACAAAGUCGAGUCGGUUUAAGGAUACGUUCGUUGGGUAGGGGAGCGUUCUGUAAGCCUGUGAAGGUGGCCUGUGAGGGUUGCUGGAGGUAUCAGAAGUGCGAAUGCUGACAUAAGUAACGAUAAAGCGGGUGAAAAGCCCGCUCGCCGGAAGACCAAGGGUUCCUGUCCAACGUUAAUCGGGGCAGGGUGAGUCGACCCCUAAGGCGAGGCCGAAAGGCGUAGUCGAUGGGAAACGGGUUAAUAUUCCCGUACUUGGUGUUACUG